RNAcentral lists this long non-coding RNA (2087 nucleotides) under Homo sapiens (human). Its description in RNAcentral is "non-protein coding lnc-FGD2-2:1". The record is from RNAcentral. Lineage: Eukaryota; Metazoa; Chordata; Mammalia; Primates; Hominidae.
GUGGCUCCCCGGCCGGUUGGAGGCCUAGCAGGACACUGGGCUGCGGGCCGGGGGUCAAUGGUGGCGGGCAGCCGGGGCCCCGGGCUCGGGAGCUGUGGCGGCAGCCGCAGGCCGGGGCGCUCCCCCGGGAUGCCCAGAGCACGCGGGGGCGGGGUUCGGCGCCUCUGGCUGCCAGACGUCCCCAAUAUGGUCUGAGGCGCUUCCAAGCCACCUCCCUGGCUUCGGGAGUUUUCUCUGCAGUUCUCUGCCCGCCCCUUUGCGGCCCAGAUCCCAGUCGCCGCGGCCUGCGUGGAACUCUGCGCGAGCUGAAUCUCCUGCUGCAGGACGAGCCCCGACCCCGAGCCCGAUCCCCUCCGCGGUCCCAGCCUCUUUGUCCGAUCGCAUUUUCCAUCUCCUCUGCCAGGAAUGCUCUCCCAACCAGAGCAAAUCCAGAUGUCCCCUCGGCGACUGUGGGCACCCUCCCCAGCUGUGGAGCCUUCGCACGCCUUCCUCAGAGUCCGUGGUUGUAAAAUUUGUUUUGCUCUAAAGUAUUUGACUGUCUCCCUCACUAGAUCCUGAGGGUUUUAGUGAGUGCCUCAGUGUGAGCACAUGCAGGCACUGCUAGGCGCCUGUAGUUGAUUCUUAGUUAAUACAAGUGAAUAAUCACAACUAGACCUUAAAUUGCAGGGACUAUGUGACAGGCACUUUUUAAAAUGCUUUAUACGUGUUGAUUUAAGUGUAAUCGUCACAAGAACCCUGCGAGGAAGAUAGGACAGCAAGUGCCCUGUUCCUGUUUGUAAACGUGCCCGACACUCUGCAACAACACCUACAACAGAACCGUGCUAGUUUUGGGGGUUCGCAAUAAAAGUUUCUGUUUGAACGGAUCCUAGAGUGUGCAGGGACACAGCAAUGGAAGACCUGGUCCCUUUGUCUGUACUUAGUCUAUAGCCAGUUCAUUGUGAGAAAUUUCUUUAGAUCGACACCUGCCACUGUUAGUCCGGGUUUCCCAGUCUGUCCUUUCUAACUCCCUUCCUGCCUUACCCCCUAAAAAGCUACCUCCCCUCUUCCCACUCCUGAUAAUGAACACUAUGUACUUUCCACGUUCAAAGCAUGCCACACUCCCUCUCUCCCUCACCUUGGCCUCCCUAACCCAGGCUUGUCCUAGUGAAAUCACUUGCAAAGCCUGCUAACCCUUUCAACUUGCUGUGUUUUCUCCAUCAAACACAAUUUUCAUCAAACAUCCCCCAGGAGCACCUUAAAUGACUUCCUUUUGCCUAGGUUCUGAUUUAGCUUUCUCAAUAAGGACCUCAAAGUCAAGUUCCUAGUGCCACACUAACUCUCUACCCAGAAGAGGCGAUAGGUUUUAGUUUGGGGGUGGGGGGUGGGGGUAGGGGAGGAUGAUUUACUUCCCCAUCCUUCUGAAACUUCCUCACAGGAACCUUUUCCUUCUUUGGGCUUUUCGUCCCCAUUUUUCUCCAACUGUCUGUUUUUCUUUCUGAACUUGGCUGUUCACCGUUGAGCCUUUUACUCUGCCUUACAUGGUCACCUAACUUUGGGCCUAUACUGUAUUUGGCCCUUUCAAACUGUAGUUUCAUGUGAAGCAGCAACUUUGUGUUGUCUUGCAUUGUUUUGUAUCUUCCACAACAUCAGAUAUAGGACUAUGCACAUAGUACAUGUUCAGUAAAGUAUUUCUAAAUGAUCGAACAAUUUCUCCAAGUGAAGAAAUUGAAGGAAAAAUAGAUCAGCUAAACCAGUUAGACCCGUAGGGUACCAAGCAGAAGCAAAUGUUAAACUGCACAAUAGCUGUAUUUCUACAACUCAGGGCUCACAGAGACUCCAAGAGGAAGAAAAAAAGAAUCCUCACAAUAAAAAAUGUAUGAGCCGCUCAAAGAAACGUGCCAUCAUGAGAGAGAAUGGGCAAAACAGGAAGAACUUGAGAUAAUAGAACCAUCUCAAAGAAAAUUAAAAGGAAAGAAGUAGGUUUCAAAUGAAGGCAAAGAUAAAUAAUAGGAAGUACUAGUAAAAAGAACAGGAAUUGUAAAGGAAAAAAAAAAACAGGUGUAUUUGAAAAGGUGCCAAACAGAACAUCUAGAAAUGAAAAGUAUACU